CAGUCGCCACGGGAAUACGAAGGGGGCUAGCGUUGUUCGGAUUUACUGGGCGUAAAGGGUGCGUAGGCGGAUUGUUAAGUCAGGGGUGAAAUCCCGAGGCUCAACCUCGGAACUGCCUUUGAUACUGGCGAUCUUGAGUCCGGGAGAGGUGAGUGGAACUGCGAGUGUAGAGGUGAAAUUCGUAGAGAUGUGGAGGAACACCAGUGGCGAAGGCGACUCUCUGGUCUGUGACUGACGCUGAGGAGCGAAAGCGUGGGGAGCGAACAGGAUUAGAUACCCCUGUAGUCCCUGUCUCUUAUAC
Molecule: ribosomal RNA, 301 nt
Filed under: uncultured bacterium
Lineage: Bacteria
Description: partial 16S ribosomal RNA
Rfam family: Bacterial small subunit ribosomal RNA
Source: RNAcentral